AUGGCUCAGGACGAACGCUGGCGGCGUGCUUCAUACAUGCAAGUCGAACGAGAAGCUCACUUCGGUGAGUGGAAAGUGGCGGACGGGUGAGUAAUGUGUAGAGAACCUGCCCUAGAGUGGGGGAUAGCAGUUGGAAACGACUAUUAAUACCCCAUAUGCGCGUAGCUGAGAUGCUAUUCGUGAAAACUCCGGUGCUCUGGGAUGAGUCUGCAUCUGAUUAGCUAGUAGGCGGUGUAAUGGACCACCUAGGCGACGAUCAGUAGCUGGUUUGAGAGGAUGAUCAGCCACAAUGGGACUGAGACACGGCCCAUACUCCUACGGGAGGCAGCAGUAGGGAAUUUUGCGCAAUGGGGGGAAAAACCCCCCGACGCAGCAACGCCGCGUGAAUGAAGAAGCCCUUCGGGGUGUAAAGUUCUGUCAGUGGGGACGAAACUUGACGGUACCCACAGAGGAAGCAUCGGCUAACUCCGUGCCAGCCGCCGC
This 483-nucleotide ribosomal RNA is filed under the name uncultured bacterium. RNAcentral describes it as "bacterial SSU rRNA". It matches the Rfam family "Bacterial small subunit ribosomal RNA", at positions 19 to 518 of the family's 1533-position model. The record is from RNAcentral.